Pelobates cultripes (western spadefoot toad) is the source of this 207-nucleotide non-coding RNA. The record is from the annotation of a GenBank genome assembly. NCBI's taxonomy places the organism in Eukaryota, Metazoa, Chordata, Amphibia, Anura, Pelobatidae.
CUUUAAUGUUAUAUUAGAUAACUACUAACUUUAGAACUUUGACUAACAAAUUUCACUUCAUUAUUUACUGGGUCCAUUCACUGGGGUCACUUUUGGGACAAAAUAGCAUCCCGUACCGAUCAAUUUAACCCUUCAAAGCAUUACAUUUAUAGAGACGUGUCCAGCAAUAACUUUGUGCAUUAUGAUAUAUUGGAGUCUUGCAUGACA